RNAcentral lists this long non-coding RNA (203 nucleotides) under Brassica napus (rape). RNAcentral describes it as "long non-coding RNA (BNAP_LNC019129)". The record is from RNAcentral. Lineage: Eukaryota; Viridiplantae; Streptophyta; Magnoliopsida; Brassicales; Brassicaceae.
CCGACUUGUUCGAGGGAGGGCAGAUCUUCGGAACAGGAAGCAUUGAGAUCAAGAACCUCUCGAAGACAAGCUUGAAUUGAAACGCCUCGCCGAGGAUAUCAGACGUCACCGUUAUCGUCGCUCUCGGCAUCUUGUUCUCGCGGAUAACGAACUCGUUGAAUAAUGCGUUUCGCCAACGCCACGACAAGUUCAAUCACAUGCCG